Molecule: ribosomal RNA, 271 nt
Filed under: uncultured bacterium
Lineage: Bacteria
Description: partial 16S ribosomal RNA
Rfam family: Bacterial small subunit ribosomal RNA
Source: RNAcentral
CUUUUGAUGGCGACCGGCGCACGGGUGAGUAACACGUAUCCAACCUGCCUCAUACUCGGGGAUAGCCUUUCGAAAGAAAGAUUAAUACCCGAUGUUAUAGUCCUACCGCAUGAUGGGAUUAUUAAAGAAUUUCGGUAUGGGAUGGGGAUGCGUUCCAUUAGUUAGUUGGCGGGGUAACGGCCCACCAAGACAACGAUGGAUAGGGGUUCUGAGAGGAAGGUCCCCCACAUUGGAACUGAGACACGGUCCAAACUCCUACGGGAGGCAGCAG